RNAcentral lists this ribosomal RNA (119 nucleotides) under Phaseolus vulgaris (common bean). The record is from RNAcentral. Lineage: Eukaryota; Viridiplantae; Streptophyta; Magnoliopsida; Fabales; Fabaceae.
AGGUGCGAUCAUACCAGCACUAAUGCACCGGAUCCCAUCAGAACUCUGCAGUUAAGGGUCCUCGGGAGAGAGUAGUACUAGAAUGGGUGAUCUCCUGGGAAGUCCUCGUGUUGCACUUC